Cervus elaphus (red deer) is the source of this 2744-nucleotide RNA transcript. RefSeq lists it as uncharacterized. The record is from RefSeq and is a predicted model, not a curated record. The transcript has 2 exons. Lineage: Eukaryota; Metazoa; Chordata; Mammalia; Artiodactyla; Cervidae.
GCUUCCUGUGUCACUGCCCGGGCAGGGUGCCCACAUGGAGGCCAGGUUCUCAAGGGGAAGGGGGCGCUGCCUCCUGUCACCUGUGGCGUCUGGUCCACCCUCAGGACGGCUCCCGGGAGGCCAGCAUCCUUGGUGCACGCCUGCCGUCUGUGGAGCAGGCGCCACUCUGGGUACUUGAGGAGAGGUUGUCUGUGAUGAGUUCGCUUUAUUAAUGACGAAUAUAACACAGAUGGCCUGUUUUCAGUACCACCCACCCCUCGUGGGCCUGAAGCCCGCCCCGUCCAGGGUAUGUGAAUGCAUGGGCUCCACAUCCGUCCUGCAAGAGCUUCCUGGAGGGCACGCUGACUCUGGGAGGCUGAUCAUGAAGCAUUUGCUUGGUGUGUGAGAUGAACAGCUCGGAUUCAGUCUCUUGUCCACGGCCCAAUGCCACUGAAUCACAGGGGGUCCCGGGAGGGGCCCCCCCAACUGGCCCGCACCUGUCAGUCCCCAAGGCCUCCCGCCUAGGGCAGACCCUGUGCAUGGCCUGAGCAUGUGUCCCGGCCACUUCUCGAGUCCCGGCGCCCUGAGACCCAGAGGGACGACGCCCUUCGGAGAAGAGCCCCAGGGCCGGCCUGCCUGCCUGCCUGCCUGCCUGCCUGCCUGCCUGCCGUGCGUGCUGCUCCACUUGGUGCUCGAGGAGAGGCUGCCCGUGGCCGGUUCGCAUUCUUUAUGACGCACAAUACACGGGUCGGCCUCUCUUCGGCAUCAAAUCCCACCUUGCAUGCGUCCUGCACGCUCGCCAGUGUCCGGGUGUCUUCGAGGGCCAAGCACGUGCUGACUCAUCCGAGGGCGGAGGGGCGGGGUUGUGGGUGGGGCUGGGGCGGGGCUAUGUUGUGGGGGUGGGGUUGUGGGCGGGGCCGUGAGGUCGGGGUGGGAACGUCUGGGGAAGCAGCCUCUAGUCUGCUGUCAACCCUGUUCAGUGGUACCUGAAAUAGGUUGCCUGUGAGGUGUUCACUUUUCUAAACGAUGAAUAUUAUACAGUCAACCUCUUUCCGAUAUCCAAUCCCACCUUGGACGCCUCCGGCUCUGGUGCUGAUUCUGAAGCCUCCAUACAGGUUGACCCGGGGACUUGAUGUAGGACAAGCCACUGGCUUGUUCAUUUUCCAGCUGCAUCCAUUCUGGAGGGUUCCUGGGAGCAGCACGGAGCAGAGCCCACCCCGGCUCCCGCGGUCCCUAACUGAUGCACUACCGAGGUGCUGGGCUAGGCUUACCUGCUGAUUCUUCCUUCACGUUGGCAACCCCCAUCCCCCACCCCGACCCUGCCCAGACCCCGCACGGCAGCAUCACCCAGGGCGUGGGAAGGGUCCAGGGCCCCUGGAAAGGUGAGCGCCUCCAAAGGAUGACCUCGGGCUGUUUGGUAUUUGUUAUUUGCCUCCUGGGCUACUGGAAGCCCCUUCUGACACGGGCAUCAUUCCAACCCCCAUGAAGCAACAUCCUUACCUCUGACAUCUCCUCUCCGGGCAUGCUUUUCCCCCCAUUGGUUCCUCUUCCGGCCCAUGGCCUCUCUGUGCCCAGGGCACAGAGGGGUUGCCCCAGCUCCAGGAAGACCAGCAGUGACCACGCCAGUGGAGCGUCCGGCCUCUAAGUUCUACGGACAUUCCUCCUUCUCAUGGGAUCCUCACACUCCCUCUCCAGGCCCUGAGCCCCAGCCCUGCCGGAGGGACCACCCUUUCUGGCCUGGACCACUGCACAGACCCCCCACCUGGCUCUCCUUCCAGGCUUCCUUCUUCUUUUGCCAGGGAGAACCUUCGAGAGUGCAGUCACGCUCUCUCUGUCCUAACCAGAGUGCCUCUGUGCAAACCCCCGCCCCGCCCCGCCCCGCCCUCAUGCUGGGCUCCAAAACAGUAACUAGUGUCUCAGGGCCCCCAGACUGGCCCACCUCCUUCUCUGCCUGCCACACUUUAUGGUUUAUCCCCCUUUUAGGUCCAUCCAUCUUUCUGACAGAGUUGAGUCCUAAGCAUGCCCUUCAUGCUCCUUUUUGGGGACCCUCAGCAGAGUCUCUUGCUUCCCCUUCCCCCCACCAAUUGUUGCCCCCUUUCUAGAGCAGGGGUUUGGGACUCCGGAGGUGAUGAAAUGUCGCUUGCUUGGCAAAGCUGUCUCUGAUCACCCAGUCUAGCCCCUACCUCUUCCUAGCCACCUCUUUUAUCAUCCUGUUAACACUGUCUUCCUAGCUUAUCUGAAAUUACAUGAAAUUAAACUAAAUGGAUGUUAAUAUUUUCUUUCUCUCUCCCCCUUAGAUUGUAAAAUUUCUCAGGGCAGGAGUUUUUUCUGUCAUGUCCCCUGCUGUGCCCACAGUCCUGGGUUCCAGGCCAGGACCAGAGUACAGGAAAGGGCUGCUCCACAGUCCCCGCUGAUGAACCACGCAGAGGGCACCCAGGCCCCAGCAGGCCGACGCACAGCACCCUGCCUGCCUCACUCAGGAAGCUGGGGGAGGCCCCUGCACCCCCCCGCCCCACCACCAUUUGAAGGACCCAGACUGCUCUCCAGGGGGCCAGUCCUGCCGCAUACGGACUGGCCUUCACAUGGACCCUGGGGAGGACCAUGUGGGCCCAGGGGAGAUAAACUUGAGGCCAGUGACCAUGCCCUGUCCCACCAAAUAGCGGGGCUUCUUUGUGCUGGCUAGAAGGAUGUAAGAAUUCCUGUUCUUCCUCUUCAAACACUCUUCAAAUACAGACCAUUUAAGUAAUAAAUACAUGUUAUCAAAA